This 506-nucleotide ribosomal RNA is filed under the name uncultured bacterium. RNAcentral describes it as "partial 16S ribosomal RNA". It matches the Rfam family "Bacterial small subunit ribosomal RNA", at positions 29 to 523 of the family's 1533-position model. The record is from RNAcentral.
AGUGAACGCUGGCGGUAGGCCUAACACAUGCAAGUCGAACGGCAGCACAGGAGAGCUUGCUCUCUGGGUGGCGAGUGGCGGACGGGUGAGGAAUACAUCGGAAUCUACUCUGUCGUGGGGGAUAACGUAGGGAAACUUACGCUAAUACCGCAUACGACCUACGGGUGAAAGCAGGGGACCUUCGGGCCUUGCGCGAUUGAAUGAGCCGAUGUCGGAUUAGCUAGUUGGCGGGGUAAAGGCCCACCAAGGCGACGAUCCGUAGCUGGUCUGAGAGGGUGAUCAGCCACACUGGAACUGAGACACGGUCCAGACUCCUACGGGAGGCAGCAGUGGGGAAUAGUGGACAAUGGGCGCAAGCCUGAUCCAGCCAUACCGCGUGGGUGAAGAAGGCCUUCGGGUUGUAAAGCCCUUUUGUUGGGAAAGAAAUCCAGCUGGCUAAUACCCGGUUGGGAUGACGGUACCCAAAGAAUAAGCACCGGCUAACUUCGUGCCAGCAGCCGCGGUAA